This 524-nucleotide ribosomal RNA is filed under the name uncultured bacterium. RNAcentral's name for it is "bacterial SSU rRNA". It matches the Rfam family "Bacterial small subunit ribosomal RNA", at positions 371 to 886 of the family's 1533-position model. The record is from RNAcentral.
AUGGACGAAAGUCUGACGGAGCAACGCCGCGUGAGUGAAGAAGGUUUUCGGAUCGUAAAACUCUGUUUUCAGGGACGAAUGUGUGGAUUGUAAAUAAUGAUCCAUAAUGACGGUACCUGACAAGAAAGCCACGGCUAACUACGUGCCAGCAGCCGCGGUAAUACGUAGGUGGCAAGCGUUGUCCGGAAUUAUUGGGCGUAAAGCGCGCGCAGGUGGGAUAAUCAGUCUGAUGUUAAAGUUCGGGGCUUAACCCCGUGAAGCAUUGGAUACUGUUAUUCUUGAGUGCAGGAGAGGAAAGUGGAAUUCCUAGUGUAGCGGUGAAAUGCGUAGAUAUUAGGAGGAACACCAGUGGCGAAGGCGACUUUCUGGACUGUGUCUGACACUGAGGCGCGAAAGCCAGGGUAGUGAACGGGAUUAGAUACCCCGGUAAUCCUGGCCGUAAACGAUGGGUACUAGGUGUUGGGGGUAUCGACCCCUCCAGUGCCGGAGUUAACGCAAUAAGUACCCCGCCUGGGGAGUACGGC